AGAGUUUGAUCAUGGCUCAGGACGAACGCUGGCGGCGUGCUUAACACAUGCAAGUCGAACGAUGAACCGGUUUCGGCCGGGGAUUAGUGGCGAACGGGUGAGUAACACGUGGGUAAUCUGCCCCGCACUCUGGGAUAAGCCCGGGAAACUGGGUCUAAUACCGGAUAUACAUCGAUGGUCGCAUGGCCUGUCGGUGGAAAGCUUUUGCGGUGUGGGAUGGGCCCGCGGCCUAUCAGCUUGUUGGUGGGGUGAUGGCCUACCAAGGCGACGACGGGUAGCCGGCCUGAGAGGGUGACCGGCCACACUGGGACUGAGACACGGCCCAGACUCCUACGGGAGGCAGCAGUGGGGAAUAUUGCACAAUGGGCGAAAGCCUGAUGCAGCGACGCCGCGUGAGGGAUGACGGCCUUCGGGUUGUAAACCUCUUUCAGCAGGGGAGAAGCGCAAGUGACGGUACCUGCAGAAGAAGCACCGGCUAACUACGUGCCAGCAGCCGCGGUAAUACGUAGGGUGCAAGCGUUGUCCGGAAUUAUUGGGCGUAAAGAGCUCGUAGGCGGCUUGUCGCGUCGGUUGUGAAAGCCCGGGGCUUAACCCUGGGUCUGCAGUCGAUACGGGCAGGCUAGAGUUCGGCAGGGGAGACUGGAAUUCCUGGUGUAGCGGUGAAAUGCGCAGAUAUCAGGAGGAACACCGGUGGCGAAGGCGGGUCUCUGGGCCGAUACUGACGCUGAGGAGCGGAAGCGUGGGGAGCGAACAGGAUUAGAUACCCUGGUAGUCCACGCUGUAAACGGUGGGAACUAGGUGUGGGCAGCAUUCCACGUUGUCUGUGCCGUAGCUAACGCAUUAAGUUCCCCGCCUGGGGAGUACGGCCGCAAGGCUAAAACUCAAAUGAAUUGACGG
RNAcentral lists this ribosomal RNA (897 nucleotides) under uncultured bacterium. Its description in RNAcentral is "bacterial SSU rRNA". It matches the Rfam family "Bacterial small subunit ribosomal RNA", at positions 8 to 916 of the family's 1533-position model. The record is from RNAcentral.